Molecule: ribosomal RNA, 253 nt
Filed under: uncultured bacterium
Lineage: Bacteria
Description: partial 16S ribosomal RNA
Rfam family: Bacterial small subunit ribosomal RNA
Source: RNAcentral
UACGUAGGGUGCAAGCGUUGUCCGGAAUUAUUGGGCGUAAAGAGCUCGUAGGCGGUCUGUCGCGUCGGCUGUGAAAACUUGGGGCUCAACCCCAAGCCUGCAGUCGAUACGGGCAGACUAGAGUGCGGUAGGGGAGACUGGAAUUCCUGGUGUAGCGGUGAAAUGCGCAGAUAUCAGGAGGAACACCGAUGGCGAAGGCAGGUCUCUGGGCAAUUACUGACACUGAGAAGCGAAAGCAUGGGGAGCGAACAGG